RNAcentral lists this long non-coding RNA (722 nucleotides) under Mytilus galloprovincialis (Mediterranean mussel). Lineage: Eukaryota; Metazoa; Mollusca; Bivalvia; Mytilida; Mytilidae. The record is from RNAcentral.
GUCGUUGUUGGACAUAUAAAUCUUAGAAAGUGUAUCAUCUGUUAAAUUUGCAGGUCACUGAAAGGGGAAGUCCCAUACGGAAGUAGGUGUUGAGGAUGAUUUUUUUUUAUAUCCAGUGACACAUAUUACAUGCGUAUUCUUGAACGUUUGAUACAUCAUUUACUCUCAAAUUGCAAAAACGAAAACUUCCACUUGUAUUUAUAGUAUUUGUAUUUUUAUCCAUCUGAUGAGUUAAGCCUUUUUCAACUGAUUUGUAUAGUUCGUUCAUAUGUUGUACUGUGACACCACUGUCCAAGGUUAUGGGAGGGUUGGGAUCCCACUAACAUGUUUAACACGCCACAUUAUCUAUGUAUGUGCCUGUUCCAAGUCAGUGGUCUGUAAUUCAGUGGUUGUCGUUUGUUAAUGUGUUACCUAUUUGUUUUUCGUUCAUUUUCUCUUAAAUAAAUUAGGCUGUUUUUUUUAAAUUUUUUCGUUUGAAUUGUUUUACAUUGUCAAUUAGCUGACUUUGCGGUAGGGGCUUUGCUUGUAUUGGAUGGUCGUACGGUGCAAUUAUAUAAUUUAGUCCAUCCAAAGCGAUCUUUAUUUAACUAUUUAGGAAUUAAUGUUCUCAUCAAAAUAUUUUAAAUCUCACAACGCAUGAAUACUUCAGCUAUUUGAAAAAAAAAGAUAUUUUAAAAAAUUGACAGGAAAUUUAAGGAUCUUCUUGGAAUGGAAUCGAAAAA